UCUAGAGCCCCCUUGUGGCAGAGGUUACCUAAUAUAAAUUUAAACUGAAAGUGUAUUAAGAAGAUAUCUUUUAAUGAACUAGAAGAAUGAUCAGAUUAAGUUGAUAUACAGUAAAUUAAUAGGUCGCUGUCAGGCUUUAGCAAAGCUUGAUGAAGAGCUGAAUUGGAAUCAGGUGUUUUGGAGCAGGGAAAGAAAUGCAGAGCAGGGGGGCCCCCCAGGAACAGAAUUGAAAAAUCACUUCUCUAACACGUUGUAAAAGUGAACGUAUGUCAGAUCUCCUGAUGUUCAACCUCUGGCUUCCUCUUUACCCGGUGUACCUCACCUCAUUUGUCCUUUAGGAGGACAGCCUGAGGCAGAAAGAGAGAGGAGGAUCGCUGUUCGCAUAUGGAUCCACAGAACUUACAUCUGUUGUCAGCAAAUAUCAAGCGGACACAAAGACAAAGAAGAAGGCUACACCUUUCUCUGUCCUCCUCAGCACCCAACAGACAGCCUGGCAGGCGAGCUGGCAGCCGGGCAGAAUGGCAGUAGGCUGGCAGGCUUUAGCCUGGGGCACCAUCUCCUGCGGAGCCAACUCUGACCAGCUGGUCCAGACUAACACCACAGAGCGAGCAUGUACCGCCGUAUCAGCGGGGAGCUAGAUGUUAGCUGUGGUCCAGACACCCUCACACCCAGAGCCUGACACCUACAGCAGUACACCUGCACCGGUGGGAUUUAGGUGAGAAGACUCUGUCUGGUCUAUGACUUAACAGGUCGUCACAUUUCUCCCGGCGUAGCCUGUCACCAUCCCGAUUCCUUUCCAGCGAGCGAAUGAUGGACCCCUGUCCGCUCUCACUUGCUAAUGCCAGAUCUAGGAGCCUGAUCCUCUGUCCAGUUUGGUCCAGUCUGCCAUGACGGUUUAGGCUCCAGCAGAGUCCCCGAGCGGCUGAGGAAAAUCUGGUGGACCUUCCACUUCCAGCACUAUUCAGCUAGUCAGCUAGCUUAGCACCGUUUUUGAUUGCUCAGCCAUAGCUAUAGACACAUCGGGACACAUUGGAAGUCAGGGCUGUAACACAGUCACAGGUGUGUGGAAGCAGCAGCCUCGGCGCUCUUCUCCUCACGGCCCGUCUCACACUUGCACUCCUCCACCACCAUCACUCGCCUCUCCCGGACCUCGGCUCCGCAGCGCAGGGGCACAGUCAC
Molecule: long non-coding RNA, 1179 nt
Organism: Acanthopagrus latus (yellowfin seabream)
Lineage: Eukaryota; Metazoa; Chordata; Actinopteri; Spariformes; Sparidae
Exons: 3
Source: RefSeq, a predicted model, not a curated record